GAUGAACGCUGGCGGCGUGCCUAAUACAUGCAAGUCGAGCGAACAGACGAGGAGCUUACUCCUCUGACGUUAGCGGCGGACGGGUGAGUAACACGUGGAUAACCUACCUAUAAGACUGGGAUAACUUCGGGAAACCGGAGCUAAUACCGGAUAACAUGUUGAACCGCAUGGUUCAACAGUGAAAGACGCUCUUGCUGUCACUUAUAGAUGUCUCCGCGUCGAAUUAGCUAGUUGGUAAGGUAACGGGCUACCAAGGCAACGAUGCGUAGCCGGCCCGAGAGGGGGGACGGGCCAACUUGGAACUGGAACACGGUCCAGAUUCCUACGGGAGGAAGCAGUAGGGAAUCUUCCGCAAUGGGCGAAAGCCUGACGGAGCAACGCGGCGUGAGUGAAGAAGGUCUUCGGAUCGUAAAACUCUGUUAUUAGGGAAGAACAAAUGUGUAAGUAACUAUGCACGUCUUGACGGUACCUAAUCAGAAAGCCACGGCUAACUACGUG
This 498-nucleotide ribosomal RNA is filed under the name uncultured bacterium. RNAcentral describes it as "partial 16S ribosomal RNA". It matches the Rfam family "Bacterial small subunit ribosomal RNA", at positions 28 to 507 of the family's 1533-position model. The record is from RNAcentral.